RNAcentral lists this ribosomal RNA (442 nucleotides) under uncultured bacterium. RNAcentral describes it as "partial 16S ribosomal RNA". It matches the Rfam family "Bacterial small subunit ribosomal RNA", at positions 338 to 795 of the family's 1533-position model. The record is from RNAcentral.
CCUACGGGAGGCAGCAGUGGGGAAUAUUGGGCAAUGGGCGCAAGCCUGACCCAGCCACGCCGCGUGAAGGAAGAAGGCUCUCGGGUUGUAAACUUCUUUUAAGAGGGAAGAGCAGAAGACGAUACCUCUUGAAUAAGACACGGCUAACUACGUGCCAGCAGCCGGGGCAAUUCGUAGGUGGCAAGCGUUGUCCGGAUUUACUGGGUGUAAAGGGCGUGUAGGCGGGCUGAUAAGUCAGAUGUGAAAUCCCGUGGCUCAACCACGGAACUGCAGUUGAAACUGUCGGUCUUGAGUAUGGGAGAGGCAGGCGGAAUUCGUAGUGUAGCGGUGAAAUGCGUAGAUAUUAGGAGGAACACCAGUGGCGAAGGCGGCAUGCUGGACGACAACUGACGGUGAGGCGCGAAAGCGUGGGGAGCAAACAGGAUUAGAUACCCUUGUAGUC